AUUGAACGCUGGCGGCAUGCCUUACACAUGCAAGUCGAACGGUAACAGGUCUUCGGAUGCUGACGAAUGGCGAACGGGUGAGUAAUACAUCGGAACGUGCCCGAGAGUGGGGGAUAACGAAGCGAAAGCUUUGCUAAUACCGCAUACGAUCUCAGGAUGAAAGCAGGGGACCGCAAGGCCUUGCGCUCACGGAGCGGCCGAUGGCAGAUUAGGUAGUUGGUGGGAUAAAAGCUUACCAAGCCGACGAUCUGUAGCUGGUCUGAGAGGACGACCAGCCACACUGGGACUGAGACACGGCCCAGACUCCUACGGGAGGCAGCAGUGGGGAAUUUGGACAAUGGGCGCAAGCCUGAUCCAGCCAUGCCGCGUGCAGGGAUGAAGGCCUUCGGGUUGUAAACUGCUUUGUACGGUAACGAAAAGACUCUGGUUAAUACCUGGGGUCCAUGACGGUACCGUAAGAAUAAGCACCGGCUAACUACGUGCCAGCAGCCCGG
This 494-nucleotide ribosomal RNA is filed under the name uncultured bacterium. RNAcentral's name for it is "bacterial SSU rRNA". It matches the Rfam family "Bacterial small subunit ribosomal RNA", at positions 30 to 520 of the family's 1533-position model. The record is from RNAcentral.